Molecule: ribosomal RNA, 492 nt
Filed under: uncultured bacterium
Lineage: Bacteria
Description: partial 16S ribosomal RNA
Rfam family: Bacterial small subunit ribosomal RNA
Source: RNAcentral
AGUGAACGCUGGCGGUAGGCCUAACACAUGCAAGUCGAACGGCAGCACAGUAAGAGCUUGCUCUUACGGGUGGCGAGUGGCGGACGGGUGAGGAAUACAUCGGAAUCUACUUUUUCGUGGGGGAUAACGUAGGGAAACUUACGCUAAUACCGCAUACGACCUACGGGUGAAAGCAGGGGAUCUUCGGACCUUGCGCGAUUGAAUGAGCCGAUGUCGGAUUAGCUAGUUGGCGGGGUAAAGGCCCACCAAGGCGACGAUCCGUAGCUGGUCUGAGAGGAUGAACAGACCCACUGGGAAUUGAACAACGUCCAGACUCCUAAGGGAGGCAGGAGUGGGGAAUAUUGGGCAAUGGGCGGAAGGCUGAUCCAGCCAUACCGCGUGGGGGAAGAAGGCCUUCGGGUUGUAAAGCCCUUUUGUUGGGAAAGAAAAGCAGCAGGUUAAUACCCCGCUGUUCUGACGGUACCCAAAGAAUAAGCACCGGCUAACUUCGUG